GGGGUCUUAGCUCAGCUGGGAGAGCGCCUGUUUUGCACGCAGGAGGUCAGGAGUUCGAUCCUCCUAGGCUCCACCA
This 76-nucleotide transfer RNA is filed under the name Acholeplasma sp. OttesenSCG-928-E16. RNAcentral describes it as "tRNA-Ala". It matches the Rfam family "tRNA". From Rfam's summary of the family: Transfer RNA (tRNA) molecules are approximately 80 nucleotides in length. Lineage: Bacteria; Bacillati; Mycoplasmatota; Mollicutes; Acholeplasmatales; Acholeplasmataceae. The record is from RNAcentral.